Molecule: RNA transcript, 5058 nt
Organism: Syngnathus typhle (broad-nosed pipefish)
Lineage: Eukaryota; Metazoa; Chordata; Actinopteri; Syngnathiformes; Syngnathidae
Gene: ccdc142
Gene name: coiled-coil domain containing 142
Exons: 18
Source: RefSeq, a predicted model, not a curated record
UUUUUUUUUUUUUUUUUAACACCCGCGAGGAUUAACAAAUAGACGGAUGGACAUUUCUCUAACCUGAUUGUUGUCCAACAUGCCACUGCAGGAUUAUUGCGGUCUGUUUCAGGACUAAGGAUAUAAAGAUGAUAUUUGCUGCUUUGCCCAAAUCUGUCGUUCUCGGACUAGUGUCAUCUGGUUGUGGCGUUAGCUCUUUCCACACGAUGAGUACAUGUUUUUGAGCCAACGACUUGGUCAUGUUACUAAGGAUGGACCAGACUUGGACCUACAGGAGCAUUUUCUCGGGGUGAUUCAGAAAGAUACGAAGCUGAUACUGCAAUGGAUGAAAACAAUUUCAAUAUCUUGAAAGACCGUGCUGGAAAGCCUGGUCUAACAGAAAAGUCUGGAUCAUUCACUUCAGAAGAGGAGAAGAAGGCGUGCGUAUCCUGUACGACAGAAGAUCUGAACACGAAUGGGUCGUGGUCACAGAGGACCAUCUGUCAUUUACUCAGAAGCACCUUCAAUCCUCGUAUGAAAUGGUUGUUACCAGACCAUAGUCAAGAUGAUUAUGAAGGAGGAGAAGAAAAUUUCGUCGUGGCCUGCAACUUAGUGUCCAGAUCUUCUGCUCGUAUCCUGCGUUUGCAACAUGUUCUUACAAGUGUGUCAAUGCAGUGGCAGCCUUUCAGCGGGGCACAAAUGGGUUCUCCCAAGAUCUGUGUCAAGGGCAGGACUAUGUUAGGUGAUAGUGUUCUCCUCGUGCCCGCUUCACCCUUCCUGAAUAAGCAUUACCAAGCUCUGUGGAAGCUCUUGGAGCAGAGAUCACUGCUGCUCUUCAUCCACGAGUACACGAGGAGGGCUCAUUUAACUACUGCGUACAUCUCAAAAGUGGGCCACCUGCUUGAGGAUCACUUGAGGAAGUCACACCUCUCAUCUAACCUGAUGCCACACCUCUGCUCAUCAGCCAAGGUGCAUCUUGUCUCCUUGUGCCAGGAGUUUCGCAUUCAUCUCAACCACUGGUCUUGUCUUUAUGCAAAAGUCCAGUCUGACCUCUACCUCAGGCGUGCCCUGGCCCAGCAGAACAAGUUGUUGGAAGAAAUUAGACGAACACUUGACUUGCUUGGCCUGCAAGUGCUCGUUGUAAUGGAACGUUAUGUCCAUGCUGUUCUGUUUGCCAUGGCGCAAUCUGAUUCAAACCACACACCAAGGGAAGUCAUGGCAGAUGUUUUAGCUUGCACAGAGCUGUAUAACAAGGCACUGGAUGAGCAGAGAAUACAGUACGGCACCACCCAUCUGAGGACUAAAUUAUUACAACAGAUUUGUUACACCACGCUGACAAACAGUCUGAGACAUCAACCUGCUGCUGUCUCAGUUAAAGACCUGCUGAGUAUUAUGGCAGCACAUCACGCAAAUACGGCAGCCAAUCAACUCCAUUUGUGGACCGCACAGCAAUGUGUUUGUGAAUCUCAUGCAAAGCCGGGAAUUUCUGCCCUCUUGCUGUCCAGAUCCCCUUCAAUGUUAACUUGGGAGCUGUUACAGGAUACGUUCUUAAACUCUUGCUCCUCCUUUCACACCUGCCAUCUUCACACCCCCAAACUUCACUUGGAAAACACUGACAGUGAAAAUAAUCAGCAUCAUUCGGAUUCAGAAAAGGCCACAUUUUCCCUCAUCAAAAAUACCCACAGGAAGAACUUAUCCUUUCAGUGCCAAAUAUGUACCUCCAACAAUGGCACAGUACGGACAGAUGUAGACCGUAACAACCCUUUAAGAAACUUUCAACAUUUGCAGGAGUCAAAUCAACCCACCAUUUACUACGAUUUGUCAACUAGCCCAUUGUCAGACUUUUGCCAGCAGGACCAGUUCAAAGUUGAGCUUCUAUUUCAUGUGCUUGUUUCCUCUGGUGACUUGCUCGGCCCACGGCUAUCACAUCCUUUGACACCUGUUAUACAACUAUUUCCUCACACUGUAACAAUAGAGGAGCUACCACCAAAUAGGAAGGCUGAUACCAACCAAAGAAUCAGGGACUGCGGUAUGGAGGGAACUUACCAAGACAUUGUUGAACUGGACAUAACCACCAGGCAAGCAGUCAAUCCCAGCUCAGGCUCUGGACAGCCAAGUCCGAAAAAGGCUGUUGAAGAUGGUCAAAAAGAUAAGGAUGGCUGUGCUUAUCAUCCUCGCUCCGUUCAGUGGUUGGACCUCAGUCAGUCAAUGCUGUUUGAUGAUCUGUUUGGAGAGUACCGCACACUGCUGUGGGCCCGCUGCAGCAAAGCAUUGUGGCUCCAGAUGCAUGUACCACAUGGAGCAAGAAGUACAGGGAGCAUCAAUCUCCAUGACAAUCACAGGAUCUUCCAAGUUCUUCAGAUUUUUAGACAGGUUUCAACCACAGGUGAGAAGAUAACUACUGUGCAGGAUAUACAUCCAAAGGAGUGCAAAGCCAUGCUGGAGGAGUUCAAUGUAAAUAUGUUGGUCAGUGCAGCACAUGCUCAGUGGGACUCUGUGGUGUGCCAAGGUUUGGGAGCAGCUGAAAAAGACAAGUGUCUUCUGACAGCCAGAAAGCAACACAGCAGGUCUUUCGCACUUUCAUCAAAUCAGGAUGACAGUGUGAUGAUGUCUGAGACCGCAGAGUACUUGAUAAAGCUCACUCAGCCUCUGCUGUCCUCUCUUUCUUACUGCAAUGCACCAGGUACAUUGAGCUUCUUCCCAACAUGGCUCCCUUUCCACAGGUUGACUGUUAGCUUGACAUUAGCUACAUUGCAAUUGUCCACAGUGUGGGUCAUGUCAAAGGCCUACCAGUUCCUCUCCUCUUGGAGCCUCAACAAGUUCUUACUCAUCACACAAGGAGACCUCAAAGUGUUGAAAGAGUCAUUGGACAAUUUGGUGAAGCAGACAAAAUCUUUGACGAUGAGUUCAGAGAGUAAUUGUCUUUCCACUCUUCAUAUCCAUAAUCAACUUGGACUGAAGCAGGAGCUCCACAAGGUUGAUGUAGCAAUCUGCGACCUUCAGGCUUUUUCUUCUCUGGUGCUAAAAAACUUUUCCGAUGACUGCAAAAGGAUGUCUGCCCAUCUUUUUGAGCAGACCAUGCCCUCUGCUGGACACUGGAGACUCAACCCCAGGCCAGGCUUUCCUAUUACUCCCAGUGAGUAUGCAUCAGAAGCUGCUCAGAAUGUGAUUGGUCAGGUUUUGGAGGGUGUGGCAUUACUAUCUGAUGAUGUCCGCGUGCAUGCUCUAAGUUUAACCAUGACGGCUUUUAUGGAGGCAUGGAUGGAACACAUCCUGAAACAACGGAUAAAAUUCAGUGUACAGGGAGCGCUUCAACUGAAGCAUGACUUUGACUGUAUCAGAGAAUUUAUCUCCUCUGACAGAUAUGGCCUGCCAGAGGAACUCCUUCAGCAACUACUCAGCCUUAGAGUAUUUCAACAAGUGGACUCUGCGGUAUUAUGUCUACUUCAGCAGCCACAAGUCAGGCCAUAUCUGCAGAGCAGUACCUGGGAGCCUUUCAUACGCUGCUAAGAAUUCUACAACCGAAGCUAGUGGCUGCAAAGGUUGGCAUGCCUGCCACGCAACAAUCUCAAUCAACGAACUCUCUCAGUCCAAAAGAACCAUCAUCCGGGCAGUUCAAGAGGAGAUCUACCCUCACGAGUACGCCUGUCUGCGAAAGAAGGAGAAACUUUCUAAAGACAGCCCUCUCAAAACCUUAGAUUCCUUCAUCUACGCUGUUGGUCUGCUGAGGGUCCGAGGUUGUGUCAGAGAAGCACAGCUCCAGCAGGAGGAGAAAACCCCUCUCAUCACAACUGGCAAACAUCACAUAGCAACGCUCCUGGUUCGACACCACCAUGAGAAGACAAAACAUCAGGGACGACUGUUCACUGAGGGUGCUGUGCGGGCCGCCGGUUUCUGGAUAAGUGGCAGCAAAAGGGGUGUGAACAGCAUGAUCCACGGGUGUGUCACAUGUCGCAAACUGCGUGGCACCCCCCAAACACAGAAGAUGGCCGACCAUCCGCCGGACCGCCUCUCUACCAUUCACAAACGUGGGCAUCGAUGUGUUCGGACCAUGGACCGUAUCUUCACGCCGUACAAGAGGUGGCCUCGCUCACAGUAAGCAGUGGGCAGUGUUAUUUACGUGCAUGAGUGUACGAGCCGUCCACAUCAAAGUCAUUGAAUCCUUAGACACCUCAAGCUUCAUCAACGCCCUCCGGCGUUUCCUUGCCGUCAGGGGCCCUGUGAAGCUCAUCCGUUACGAUCGAGGAACCAACUUUGUCGGCGCUUGUAAAGAGCUGAAGAUCCCCUCGAACGUCGACAACGCUUCGGUCGAGAAGUUCCUCCUGGACCAAGGAUGUGCAUGGAAGUUCAACGUUACACACGCCUCUCACAUGGGCGGUUCAUGGGAGAGGAUGAUUGGAGUAGCACAAAAGAUCCUGGACUCAGUGUUCCUCCAGCUUGGAACUUCGAGACUCAGCCACGAAGCACUCUCCACACUGAUAGCAGAGGUCGCUGCGAUCGUCAAUGCCAGACCUCUGAUUCCAGUGUCUACUGACCCAGACUUUCAUUCUUACUCCAGCAACCCUUCUCACCCAGAAGGUGAGUGUACUUUCAUCCCCAGUCGGUGACUGGAUCAAAGACCUCCACAAGUCCCAGUGGCGCCAAGUCCAACAUCUGGCCCAAACAUUCUGGGAUAGAUGGAAGAAGCAAUACCUCGCAUCACUUCAGCCGCGACAGAAGUGGCAGGCUCCCACCCCAGACAUUCAGCCUGGGAGCAUUGUCCUUCUCAAAGACAAUCAGCUCGUGAGAAACGAGUGGCCUCUGGGACUGAUUACUCAGGUCUUCCCCAGCAACGAUGGCAUGGUACGUAAAGUCGAGGUCAAGGUCUCCAAGACAGACGGGACAAAACUGUACCAGCGUCCCAUCUCCGAGACCGUCCUCCUUCUUGCCCCUGAUAAGAAACAGUCCCGCUAAGAGCAGUGGAGACAGCUUGAGUGCAGCUGUGGGGAGCAGCAUAACCAACCUGAGGGGUAUGGAAGGGGACUACAUGACUCAGUCUAAUUCUUCCAUUCUAAGCACUGGCAUUCCUUCAGUGGACCC